CAGCCGUCGAGGAGACACCAUGCGCGCCUCUCUCGUCCUCCUCGCUGGUGUCGUCCUCCUCGCCCUCCUGUGCGGGACCGAGGCUCACCACUGCGAGGAUUGCAGAACCGUCUCCUGCCCGAGCACAGCCGAUUGCAUUCACGGCACCCAGCGCGAACAUUGCAACUGCUGCAACGUCUGCUUGAGGGUUGCCGGCGAGAAAUGUGACGGUCCCGCCAUCUGGACGGCUUUUGCUUAAGGCCAUCGAGGUGCAAAGGAAAUAUUUGUUCUUAGAACUAUUUACACUACUGAGCCUUGUGUGCAGUUAAAAGAAU
Molecule: long non-coding RNA, 314 nt
Organism: Penaeus indicus
Lineage: Eukaryota; Metazoa; Arthropoda; Malacostraca; Decapoda; Penaeidae
Exons: 3
Source: RefSeq, a predicted model, not a curated record